Molecule: long non-coding RNA, 475 nt
Organism: Spinacia oleracea (spinach)
Lineage: Eukaryota; Viridiplantae; Streptophyta; Magnoliopsida; Caryophyllales; Amaranthaceae
Exons: 3
Source: RefSeq, a predicted model, not a curated record
CUUAACAAACUGUCUGACAACAAUGUCAUUAAUCCAGGAAAGGAAAAUAUGGCCAGACUUGUGUUUCGCCUCUCCAAAAUGGUUCAUUAUCAGCAAAUGUUGCUAGACAGGUUCCAGUUGUUCUACUGAUGUCUGAUAUUUUAAAGGGGGAUGUUAACUUUCCUGCAUUACUGCGAUUCUCUAAAGUUGUUAGUCUUUUCCAUGAAUUUGGCCAUAUGUCAUUGGCUCGCAUGAACAAGAAGGACUCGUGGCUGUUUUGGUGGAGCCUUUAUCUUACCGUGAGUGAAGUUACUUUUUUUUCCUUUUCCGUCUCCUUUAAAAACCAUGUACUCCCUCCUUGCACAUAAGUAACACUUAUACUUUAGGGCAUUGUAAAUUAGCUGUCACGUGGUACUUUCUUAAAUAUAACUUUCGGUUCCUGAAUUUCUGUGAGGUCUUGUUUUGGUACUAUAUAUUAUGUUACAAGCUGGAUGAA